GCGGUCCAUGUCCUAUCAGCUUGUUGGUGAGGUAAUGGCUCACCAAGGCGACGACGGGUACCGGGACUGAGAGGUUGACCCGGGGCAUCGGGACUGAGACACUGCCCGGACUCCUACGGGAGGCUGCAGUAACGAAUAUUGGUCAAUGGGCGAAAGCCUGAACCAGCGACGCCGCGUGUGGGAGGAAGCCCUUCGGGGUGUAAACCACUGUCAGGGAUUACCAAGCAAUGGAGGCUAAUACCCUCCUGCGUUGAGGCGUCCCAGAGGAAGUCACGGCUAACUUCGUGCCAGCAGCCGCGGUAAUACGAAGGUGGCGAGCGUUGUUCGGAAUCACUGGGCUUAAAGAGCACGUAGGCGGACUGACAAGCGUCUUGUGAAAUCCCCCGGCUCAACCGGGGAAUUGCUGGGCGAACUGGUAGUCUUGAGGCAAGUAGGGGCAGAUGGAACUCUUGGUGGAGCGGUGGAAUGCGUAGAUAUCAAGAGGAACGCCAGAGGCGAAGGCGAUCUGCUGGGCUUGACCUGACGCUGAAGGUGCGAAAGCCAGGGGAGCAAGCGGGAUUAGAUACCCCGGUAGUCCUGGCCAUAAACGAUGUCCACUAGAUCGGUGAACUUCUGACAGUUGUGCCGGUCGAAACAAAAGCGUUAAGUGGACCGCCUGGGGAGUACGGUCGCAAGGCUAAAACUCAAAGGAAUUGACGGGGGCUCACACAAGCGGUGGAGCAUGUUGCUUAAUUCGAUGCAACGCGAAGAACCUUAUCCUGGGCUUGACAUGCUUGGAUGCCCAUCUGGAAACAGAGUAGGCUGCCCUUCGGGGUGAAACUUGCACAGGUGCUGCAUGGCUGUCGUCAGCUCGUGUCGUGAGAUGUUGGGUUAAGUCCCGUAACGAGCGAAACCCUUGUCGUUAGUUGCCAGCGCGUAAUGGCGGGGACUCUAGCGAGACUGCCGGUGUUAAACCGGAGGAAGGUGGGGAUGACGUCAGGUCCUCAUGGCCUUUAUGCCCAGGGCUGCAAACGUGCUACAAUGGCGAGGACAAACCGACGCAAAGCCGCGAGGUCGAGCAAAUCGGAGAAACCUUGCCCCAGUUCGGAUUGGAGUCUGCAACUCGACUCCAUGAAGUCGGAAUCGCUAGUAAUCGCGUAUCCGCGUGACGCGGU
RNAcentral lists this ribosomal RNA (1154 nucleotides) under uncultured organism. RNAcentral's name for it is "bacterial SSU rRNA". It matches the Rfam family "Bacterial small subunit ribosomal RNA", at positions 226 to 1363 of the family's 1533-position model. The record is from RNAcentral.